This 739-nucleotide ribosomal RNA is filed under the name uncultured bacterium. RNAcentral's name for it is "bacterial SSU rRNA". It matches the Rfam family "Bacterial small subunit ribosomal RNA", at positions 49 to 807 of the family's 1533-position model. The record is from RNAcentral.
CUACCAUGCAGUCGAGCGAUGAAACUCCUUUGGGAGUGGAUUAGCGGCGGACGGGUGAGUAACACGUGGGUAACCUACCUCAAAGAGGGGGAUAGCCUCCCGAAAGGGAGAUUAAUACCGCAUGAUAAUCAGUUUUCACAUGGGAAUUGAUUUAAAGGAGUAAUCCGCUUUGAGAUGGACCCGCGGCGCAUUAGCUAGUUGGUAGGGUAACGGCCUACCAAGGCGACGAUGCGUAGCCGACCUGAGAGGGUGAUCGGCCACAUUGGAACUGAGAGACGGUCCAGACUCCUACGGGAGGCAGCAGUGGGGAAUAUUGCACAAUGGGCGAAAGCCUGAUGCAGCAACGCCGCGUGAGUGAAGAAGGUUUUCGGAUUGUAAAGCUCUGUCUUUGGGGACGAUAAUGACGGUACCCAAGGAGGAAGCCACGGCUAACUACGUGCCAGCAGCCGCGGUAAUACGUAGGUGGCAAGCGUUGUCCGGAAUUACUGGGCGUAAAGAGUGCGUAGGCGGAUAUUUAAGUGAGAUGUGAAAUACCCGGGCUUAACCCGGGCACUGCAUUUCAAACUGGAUAUCUAGAGUGCGGGAGAGGAGAAUGGAAUUCCUAGUGUAGCGGUGAAAUGCGUAGAGAUUAGGAAGAACACCAGUGGCGAAGGCGAUUCUCUGGACCGUAACUGACGCUGAGGCACGAAAGCGUGGGUAGCAAACAGGAUUAGAUACCCUGGUAGUCCACGCCGUAAAC